Molecule: small RNA, 126 nt
Filed under: Marmota monax (woodchuck)
Lineage: Eukaryota; Metazoa; Chordata; Mammalia; Rodentia; Sciuridae
Source: RNAcentral
GCCAGGUGUGGUGGCCUAUGCCUGUAAUCCCAGGGGUUCUGGAGGCUGAGGCAGGAGGAUCCCAAGUUCAAAGUCCAGCCUCUGCAAAAGCAAGGUACUAAGCAACUCAGUGAGACCCUGUCUCUA